This 314-nucleotide long non-coding RNA is filed under the name Gossypium raimondii (Peruvian cotton). RNAcentral's name for it is "long non-coding RNA (GRAI_LNC001174)". The record is from RNAcentral. Lineage: Eukaryota; Viridiplantae; Streptophyta; Magnoliopsida; Malvales; Malvaceae.
GCCGACGGUGGUGGCAGAGGCAUGCGCAAGGAGGCUGGCGGCUAGGGGUUAGAAGACCUAGGUACGGUGCACCUAGGGUUUUUUACUGUUUAUUUUUUUGAUUCUGUUGGGCUAGGGUUGUUAGGUUUAUUUUGGGCUGUUCGUAAUUAUUUUGGACUAUGGGCCUUUUUUAUUUUGGGUUUUUUUAUUUAGUGUUUGGUUUUGUUUGGGUCAUAUUGGGCCCCAGGUAAAAAUGGGCCACUACAGCUGCCCCUCUUUGCUCAUUGUCGUGUAACGAGAAUGGAGCAAAGACUUCAAAAAUGACCAUUUUUGCC